AUGCACGCUGGCGGCGUGCCUAAUACAUGCAAGUCGAGCGAACAGACGACGAGCUUGCUCCUCUGACGUUAGCGGCGGACGGGUGAGUAACACGUGGAUAACCUACCUAUAAGACUGGGAUAACUUCGGGAAACCGGAGCUAAUACCGGAUAAUAUAUUGAACCGCAUGGUUCAAUAGUGAAAGACGGUUUUGCUGUCACUUAUAGCUGGAUCCGCGCCGCAUUAGCUAGUUGGUAAGGUAACGGCUUACCAAGGCAACGAUGCGUAGCCGACCUGAGAGGGUGAUCGGCCACACUGGAACUGAGACACGGUCCAGACUCCUACGGGAGGCAGCAGUAGGGAAUCUUCCGCAAUGGGCGAAAGCCUGACGGAGCAACGCCGCGUGAGUGAUGAAGGUCUUCGGAUCGUAAAACUCUGUUAUUAGGGAAGAACAAAUGUGUAAGUAACUAUGCACGUCUUGACGGUACCUAAUCAGAAAGCCACGGCUAACUACGUG
RNAcentral lists this ribosomal RNA (496 nucleotides) under uncultured bacterium. RNAcentral describes it as "partial 16S ribosomal RNA". It matches the Rfam family "Bacterial small subunit ribosomal RNA", at positions 29 to 507 of the family's 1533-position model. The record is from RNAcentral.